RNAcentral lists this ribosomal RNA (1530 nucleotides) under Escherichia coli 3-073-06_S3_C1. RNAcentral's name for it is "bacterial SSU rRNA". It matches the Rfam family "Bacterial small subunit ribosomal RNA". The record is from RNAcentral. Lineage: Bacteria; Pseudomonadati; Pseudomonadota; Gammaproteobacteria; Enterobacterales; Enterobacteriaceae. RNAcentral also lists the same sequence under 1 other name.
AGAGUUUGAUCAUGGCUCAGAUUGAACGCUGGCGGCAGGCCUAACACAUGCAAGUCGAACGGUAACAGGAAACAGCUUGCUGUUUCGCUGACGAGUGGCGGACGGGUGAGUAAUGUCUGGGAAACUGCCUGAUGGAGGGGGAUAACUACUGGAAACGGUAGCUAAUACCGCAUAACGUCGCAAGACCAAAGAGGGGGACCUUCGGGCCUCUUGCCAUCGGAUGUGCCCAGAUGGGAUUAGCUAGUAGGUGGGGUAACGGCUCACCAAGGCGACGAUCCCUAGCUGGUCUGAGAGGAUGACCAGCCACACUGGAACUGAGACACGGUCCAGACUCCUACGGGAGGCAGCAGUGGGGAAUAUUGCACAAUGGGCGCAAGCCUGAUGCAGCCAUGCCGCGUGUAUGAAGAAGGCCUUCGGGUUGUAAAGUACUUUCAGCGGGGAGGAAGGGAGUAAAGUUAAUACCUUUGCUCAUUGACGUUACCCGCAGAAGAAGCACCGGCUAACUCCGUGCCAGCAGCCGCGGUAAUACGGAGGGUGCAAGCGUUAAUCGGAAUUACUGGGCGUAAAGCGCACGCAGGCGGUUUGUUAAGUCAGAUGUGAAAUCCCCGGGCUCAACCUGGGAACUGCAUCUGAUACUGGCAAGCUUGAGUCUCGUAGAGGGGGGUAGAAUUCCAGGUGUAGCGGUGAAAUGCGUAGAGAUCUGGAGGAAUACCGGUGGCGAAGGCGGCCCCCUGGACGAAGACUGACGCUCAGGUGCGAAAGCGUGGGGAGCAAACAGGAUUAGAUACCCUGGUAGUCCACGCCGUAAACGAUGUCGACUUGGAGGUUGUGCCCUUGAGGCGUGGCUUCCGGAGCUAACGCGUUAAGUCGACCGCCUGGGGAGUACGGCCGCAAGGUUAAAACUCAAAUGAAUUGACGGGGGCCCGCACAAGCGGUGGAGCAUGUGGUUUAAUUCGAUGCAACGCGAAGAACCUUACCUGGUCUUGACAUCCACGGAAGUUUUCAGAGAUGAGAAUGUGCCUUCGGGAACCGUGAGACAGGUGCUGCAUGGCUGUCGUCAGCUCGUGUUGUGAAAUGUUGGGUUAAGUCCCGCAACGAGCGCAACCCUUAUCCUUUGUUGCCAGCGGUCCGGCCGGGAACUCAAAGGAGACUGCCAGUGAUAAACUGGAGGAAGGUGGGGAUGACGUCAAGUCAUCAUGGCCCUUACGACCAGGGCUACACACGUGCUACAAUGGCGCAUACAAAGAGAAGCGACCUCGCGAGAGCAAGCGGACCUCAUAAAGUGCGUCGUAGUCCGGAUUGGAGUCUGCAACUCGACUCCAUGAAGUCGGAAUCGCUAGUAAUCGUGGAUCAGAAUGCCACGGUGAAUACGUUCCCGGGCCUUGUACACACCGCCCGUCACACCAUGGGAGUGGGUUGCAAAAGAAGUAGGUAGCUUAACCUUCGGGAGGGCGCUUACCACUUUGUGAUUCAUGACUGGGGUGAAGUCGUAACAAGGUAACCGUAGGGGAACCUGCGGUUGGAUCACCU